This is a long non-coding RNA of Carcharodon carcharias (great white shark), 1262 nucleotides long. RefSeq lists it as uncharacterized. The transcript is spliced from 3 exons. The record is from RefSeq and is a predicted model, not a curated record. Lineage: Eukaryota; Metazoa; Chordata; Chondrichthyes; Lamniformes; Lamnidae.
ACCACCACCCCGACUUUACACUACCCUACCCCGCAGACUGGAGCUUUACGGGAGAUAUUUGCCCAUAUUAUUGUUUGUGCGAGUGCGGGAGGCGCGCGGGCGGCGCUUCGGCAGCGGGGAGGAGGAGACAAAAUGGCGGCCGGCGGAGAAACCGAUUAUCACAUGAACAUGGGCUAAACAUUAUUCCGUGUGUUGCAAGGACAAAUCAGGGGAAAACAUGCUGGACCACAUUUGAUACUCCAAGCCUAAUUAUAGAAUUGUAUUGCUGUGUUUACCUUUCUCCUCUGCUUUCACUGUGAUAUAUACCAUCUCCUCCAUCCAAGAGUUCAGGUGCUGCUAGACCUGCUGAGUUUUUUUUCAGCAUUUUCUGUUUUUGAUGAAGUAACAGAUGCUUAUGAUGGCUUCCUAUGAGCCACAACAUGGGAGAUCCAAUAAUGUUUUAUUAGUUACCACUUUACAAAAUCUCAUUCUCAAUUAUAUACGUUAAAACUUUUUCUUUUUGCAUCCUGUUGUGGACAUAUAUUGCAAGCACUUAAUAUUCUUUGCCCAAUUCCUCAAUUAUUUACUUGCUCAUAUUUUUAAGGAUAAUUUUUGUGAAAAACGUUUGUGUGUGAAGAGUUAUGAGCAAGAUUGGCUAGUAAUGCUAUGGAUGUAUGAAAACUAGUGAGCAUUCACACACACAUUUCCCCUGAAUACAGGACUAACUAACCUCCUUAUCUCUGACUUUGUGAGACUGUCUCAUUGUUUUUGUUUGGUAUCAGCUGACAAUAUGAUUAACCAGGAACUAAAUCAUCACCUAAUGCUAUUUUCCUGUGAAGGCUGUCUUGACAACCGUUGCUUCUGAAUUUUGCCUUUGCUAAAUAGAUUACUCAUGGUUUGAGGCCUUUGGGCGGUGGGGCAGUAGCAGGGCGGCAACGAGCAUUGUGCUGCUGGCUUACACAUUUGGCCAUAUUAGUCAAGAGUGGUGAAUCAAGAAGGGGUGGGCUAUGUGGGGAUAUGUAAAGGUGAGGUUUGUGGGAGAAGUUGGGCAAUUUGGAAGUACCUGGAGUAGAGGUAAGAACUGGAGGGCUGGGUUAUCUCAAUGACCUGUUUGCUUGUAGACAGGACUGUAUAUAUUGUCUGUCUGCUUACUGUAAUUAAUAACUGAAAUAAAAUCAACUUGAUACUAGAGUCUGGAUCAGAAGAUUAUUUUAAUGUACUAAGACAAUACCAUACAGAGCAUGCAUGUGAUUUUCUGACAUGGAGAUUAUGCUUCCUACCAG